CCAGAGUCUGAACCAGCUGCUUUGAAGAGAUCUUUCGAAUGAAUGGCUGAGCUGUGAAUUUCUAAGACUGUUGAUGAGAACAGAAGAAGGAACAGAUGGUGGCACCAUCCUGUCUCAACACCAAAUACUGUCCUGGAGUUGUACAUGGUGCAAAAAGCAUCCCCGUGUGGAGAAGCAGAUAGUGUUCCUGCAAAGCUGAGAUGUCAAGCAGAGGAUCCCCCGUGACAGCCAGCACUACUGCCAGGACCUGAUGCAGAGCUGGGGGCUGCCUGCGGGUGCCAAGCUGUAGCAGAGUGAGCAGAGUCUGGGGCGCUCAUGUUGGCAGAUCAACAUGGUGGAUUUUAUGGUGGAUCUCUACAGCUGAGGGACAACUGUCUGUGAAUUUCCAGGUCAUGUAACCUUGCUCACUCUUGUGGAAAGCUUGAGGACCUCCAGGAGGGGUUUAAAGAAGAGAUCUUCCUCUCCUGUUCA
Molecule: long non-coding RNA, 471 nt
Organism: Aquila chrysaetos chrysaetos
Lineage: Eukaryota; Metazoa; Chordata; Aves; Accipitriformes; Accipitridae
Exons: 5
Source: RefSeq, a predicted model, not a curated record